AUGCAGGGCAGAGGGUGACCAUAACUAAGUUAUGCCUUGGUGGGAGGAUCCAGAAAUGACAUAUGAUUUGGAGAUGAAUCAUGAUCUGAAUGGGGAUUGGAUGAGUUAUUUCACCACUAAUUUUUAGACAAAUUAUGAAUUAAUCAAGUUUUUUGUGGCAUCUUCAUAGCCCCGGUUGCUGAGAGGCUCCGAGUGGAGA
RNAcentral lists this long non-coding RNA (199 nucleotides) under Elaeis guineensis (African oil palm). Its description in RNAcentral is "long non-coding RNA (EGUI_LNC028904)". Lineage: Eukaryota; Viridiplantae; Streptophyta; Magnoliopsida; Arecales; Arecaceae. The record is from RNAcentral.